RNAcentral lists this ribosomal RNA (497 nucleotides) under uncultured bacterium. RNAcentral's name for it is "partial 16S ribosomal RNA". It matches the Rfam family "Bacterial small subunit ribosomal RNA", at positions 28 to 507 of the family's 1533-position model. The record is from RNAcentral.
GAUGAACGCUGGCGGCGUGCCUAAUACAUGCAAGUCGAGCGAACAGAUAAGGAGCUUGCUCCUUUGACGUUAGCGGCGGACGGGUGAGUAACACGUGGAUAACCUACCUAUAAGACUGGGAUAACUUCGGGAAACCGGAGCUAAUACCGGAUAAGAUUUUGAACCGCAUGGUUCAAUAGUGAAAGACGGCCUUGCUGUCACUUAUAGAUGGAUCCGCGCCGUAUUAGCUAGUUGGUAAGGUAACGGCUUACCAAGGCAACGAUACGUAGCCGACCUGAGAGGGUGAUAGGCCACACUGGAACUGAGACACGGUCCAGACUCCUACGGGAGGCAGCAGUAGGGAAUCUUCCGCAAUGGGCGAAAGCCUGACGGAGCAACGCCGCGUGAGUGAUGAAGGUCUUCGGAUCGUAAAACUCUGUUAUCAGGGAAGAACAAACGUGUAAGUAACUGUGCACGUCUUGACGGUACCUGAUCAGAAAGCCACGGCUAACUACGUG